AUUGAACGCUGGCGGCAUGCCUUACACAUGCAAGUCGAACGGCAGCACGGGAGCAAUCCUGGUGGCGAGUGGCGAACGGGUGAGUAAUACAUCGGAACGUGCCCCGUAGUGGGGGAUAGCCCGGCGAAAGCCGGAUUAAUACCGCAUUCGACCUAUGGGUGAAAGCGGGGGAUCGCAAGACCCCGCGCUAUUGGAGCGGCCGAUGUCAGAUUAGCUAGUUGGUGGGGUAAAGGCAUACCAAGGCGACGAUCUGUAGCAGGUCUGAGAGGACGACCAGCCACACUGGGACUGAGACACGGCCCAGACUCCUACGGGAGGCAGCAGUGGGGAAUUUUGGACAAUGGGCGCAAGCCUGAUCCAGCCAUGCCGCGUGCGGGAAGAAGGCCUUCGGGUUGUAAACCGCUUUUGUCAGGGAAGAAACGCUCCGAGUUAAUACCUCGGAGUAAUGACGGUACCUGAAGAAUAAGCACCGGCUAACUACGUGCCAGCAGCCGCAGUAA
Molecule: ribosomal RNA, 500 nt
Filed under: uncultured bacterium
Lineage: Bacteria
Description: partial 16S ribosomal RNA
Rfam family: Bacterial small subunit ribosomal RNA
Source: RNAcentral